AGUGAACGCUGGCGGUAGGCCUAACACAUGCCAGUCGAACGGCAGCACAGUAAGAGCUUGCUCUUACGGGUGGCGAGUGGCGGACGGGUGAGGAAUACAUCGGAAUCUACUUUUUCGUGGGGGAUAACGUAGGGAAACUUACGCUAAUACCGCAUACGACCUACGGGUGAAAGCAGGGGAUCUUCGGACCUUGCGCGAUUGAAUGAGCCGAUGUCGGAUUAGCUAGUUGGCGGGGUAAAGGCCCACCAAGGCGACGAUCCGUAGCUGGUCUGAGAGGAUGAUCAGCCACACUGGAACUGAGACACGGUCCAGACUCCUAAGGGAGGCAGCAGUGGGGAAUAUUGGACAAUGGGCGCAAGCCUGAUCCAGCCAUACCGCGUGGGUGAAGAAGGCCUUCGGGUUGUAAAGCCCUUUUGUUGGGAAAGAAAAGCAGCAGGUUAAUACCCCGCUGUUCUGACGGUACCCAAAGAAUAAGCACCGGCUAACUUCGUG
This 492-nucleotide ribosomal RNA is filed under the name uncultured bacterium. RNAcentral describes it as "partial 16S ribosomal RNA". It matches the Rfam family "Bacterial small subunit ribosomal RNA", at positions 29 to 507 of the family's 1533-position model. The record is from RNAcentral.